RNAcentral lists this transfer RNA (67 nucleotides) under Curculionoidea sp. 23 KM-2017. RNAcentral describes it as "tRNA-Met". The record is from RNAcentral. Lineage: Eukaryota; Metazoa; Arthropoda; Insecta; Coleoptera.
AAAAAGGUAAGCUAAAUAAGCUCUUGGGUUCAUACCCCAACCAUAAAGGUAAAUCCUUUCCUUUUUA